UCCGUUUUCUGUAUCUCACUUCCGCAAUGGUCCCCACCUUGCCUGGAGACCAAGCUUUCUUUGCAGGCCUCAUCAAGUGUGCUUGUGGCUUCAUCAAUACAAUCAGGUGCCUCUGGGGGACAGGUUGAAAGUCACACCAAGUCUGCUGGUUCUACACUAGCAGAGAUGAAGUUUGGGUUGACAGAUUCCCAGUGAGAAUGCCAGCAUCUGCUCUUCAACAUCCCAUGGCUGACCAGCUCCUUUACCUGCUAUAUUUUAAAUUUGGAAGCAAUUAAUUUGGAGGAGGAAAGAGUCUAAGUAAGAUGCCUAACAGAUCUUGGUGCGUUGACAACCUUGAAACUUGAUGUUAAUGGACAGGUACAAAGAUGAAGAUGAGCUGAACAGUCUUAGUGGUUGAAGCUGCUGCAUGUAAGAUAAGCAUGUUAAAUCCAUGCCAUGUAUACUGCAAAUCCCAAUCCUGUGCACAAAGCAGGCAUUGCUAAGAAGACCCUGCUGUAUUUAAAAAGCCUAGAUGCACUGAUAGAACCCUCAACACAGGACUCCAGCCAUGGACUACCAUUGGUUCAGAGCUGCCAGUCCAGUAGUAGCUUAUGCAUCACCUACGGUAGAGUGGAAACUCUCCUGCACACGCCAGUCACUCCAAGGGCACUUUAAUUAAAACCACACAAAAUUUUUGUAGAUAACAAUAAACUUGAUUAUGGAUAAAUCAUGAAAUCAAUAAAUAUAGAG
Molecule: long non-coding RNA, 729 nt
Filed under: Homo sapiens (human)
Lineage: Eukaryota; Metazoa; Chordata; Mammalia; Primates; Hominidae
Description: HSALNT0355914
Source: RNAcentral